Molecule: RNA transcript, 2693 nt
Organism: Dermochelys coriacea (leatherback sea turtle)
Lineage: Eukaryota; Metazoa; Chordata; Testudines; Dermochelyidae
Gene: B2M
Gene name: beta-2-microglobulin
Exons: 3
Source: RefSeq, a predicted model, not a curated record
CGCUGUGAUUGGCCCGAGGCAGGCAGGGUAUAAAGGCGCUGGCGGGGGGCGGAGGCGCCAGUCUGCCGAGGGUCGCGUGUAGCUGGAGCCAUGGUUCGGGGGCUCGGUGUGUUGGUGCUGGUGCUGCUCGGACUCGCCGGCAUGGAGGCGACCGCAAGAGCCCCCAAAGUACAUGUGUACUCCCGCCACCCAGCGGAAGAUGGCAAGCCGAACAUCCUGAACUGCUAUGUGGAGGGGUUCCAUCCUCCAAACAUUCAGAUCACCUUGCUGCAGAAUGAUGAAAAGAUGGAGAACAUAGAAACGUCCGACCUGUCCUUCAGUGAGGACUGGACUUUCCAGCGCCUGGUGCAUGCCCCGUUCACUCCUAACAGGAAAGAUUCAUAUGUAUGCAAAGUGGAGCAUAGCACCCUUCAAAAUCCCAAGAACGUCAAAUGGGGUGAGUAUUUUACUACUUCCAUCUUGUUCACUUCAUCCCUCAUCAAGUGUAGACUGGAUUUGGAUUCUGUUGCUACUGAGAUCCUGCACUCUGCCAGAGAAUCAGCUUGUCUGCUUAGUCACAAGUCCAGUGUCUCUUUUUUUCUUUUCUUUUUCUUUUUUUUAAGCGUAAUAGGGUGAGUUCCUGAUGUCUUGUUUCUAGACACCUUUGGCCUCUUCCUAGGCUCCAGUGAAAUUGUCUCUAAUUGCCAAAGGGAACAUAGAAUCAUAGAAUGUCAGGGUUGGAAGGGACCUCAGGAGGUCAUCUAGUCCAACCCCCUGCUCAAAGCAGGACCAAUUCCCAGCUAAACUAAAUCCCCAUGUAAAUUAAUACACUGCAUUGGAACAUCUGAUAGUAAUGGGAAGAAGGAGAGACUAAUUUCUGGAAUAUUGGACAUGCUGUAGAUCAGGUCAGGCUAUAUCUACACUGCAGACCUUACAGCGGUACAGCUACAGCUGUGCUACUGUAAGGUCUCCCAUGUAGCCACUCUUUGCUGACAGGAGAGAGCUCUCCUGCCAGCAUAAUUAAGCUACCCUCAACGAGCGGUGUUAGUUAUGUCGGCAGGAGAGACUCUCCUGCAGACAAUAGUACUGUCCGCACCAGCACUUUUGAUGGUAAAACUUAAGUUGGUCCAGGGGUGUGUUUUUCACACCCCUCAUCGACAAAAGUGCUAGCGUAGACAUAGCCUCAGUUAGCAGAGCUCUGGGGAAAGUAUACACAACCCCUGCCUGCCCGCUUGGUACCUGGCUUUAAUGUUAUCAUAAUGUCUUAAUGGUAUCUUAAUUCCUUAUGCUCAUCUCAAAAUAAAAAUUACCUGAACGGAUAUGUCAUAUGUAACUUUUAUGACUUGCCUGUUGAAAAAGGGUAAGUGAGAAGAUAAAAAGAUAUAUUUUAUUAAAAGAGCAGUUUUUGUCAGAGAAACCAUUUUCAACCCCAGCCUAGUCUCUUACUUUGUUCUGCAGGCUUUUCUCUGUCUUUUGAUACAUAAUCACCAACAAUAAAAGAUCCAGGACUUUGAAUUUGUCUGGCAUCACAAGCAUGACAGGGUGGAACAGAAUCCAGUUGACUUCUGCUUGCUGGGAGGAGGAAACCCAAUUAGUUUUUGUAAACUAAGCAAAGAUGCUUAGGACAACUGGCAAGAAGAUGAGGGGUGUGGUGUCUGUUUCUUUUCUGGCCCAGUCUAUAGUCCUUUAGCAUGAGCAGUGGUGGCUUAUCACAGGGCAUCUGUCUGGCUGCUAGAGUGAUAGAACUCUCCCAGCUCUGCAUUAUAAUUGUUGUGAUUGAUGGGAGGGUUAUUUGUGCAGCACAGCCACAUCUUGGAAGUGAAGUCUAACAUCCUGUUGUCCUCUUUUUGUAGACCCAGAUAAUUAACCUGCAUCUUAGACACAUAUGGUCUGAAGAACAUCUGCCUUGCAAUCUGAAAUCAGCUUAAGCCGUAACCCAUUUUCCUCUGUGUUCUCUUCACACCCCACACUCAUUUUGUGUUGGAGCUGAAUGUAUAGCUUAAAUUGAUGCUAAAUAAUUUGUGGGGGGUCCUUUGAAAUUAACACUUCACAUUAGCAAGUUUUUAGAUUUUUGAGCCUGGGGCCCUCAUCUGUGUAUGGCAGUGUGACAUUAGAGCUGGCCUCGCACACCAAAAUUAUUGAUGCUCUGUCUGCUUAGGUGGAAAACUUGGGUAAUCUAGUGGUGGACAUGUUAUAGAAUCAUUAUAGAUCUUAUGCAAAGAUAAGCCAAACUUGUAUUGGUCAGUCUGGCAGGUGUGCUACUGCUACUUAAACUGGCACUUUUAAAGUAAAUCCUAAACAUGUCUCAAGGUCUUUUAAAAUCCAUGGAUCUUUCUUCUGAUCCAGCCAUGCUGUGCUCAUGGUAUUGAGAGAGAGAGAGAGAAUUUGCACUGCAAAUUUGGAAGAAUUUUGUCUUUCCAGUAGCUCCAGAACAUAAGAGCUAUAACAAGGUCCCAGUACAACCUACCUGUAGGCAGUCCUCGCCAGGGAUUGAGGCUACCAGGGCCUGAGUGCAACACCUGUUGCCAAGCCCUUUGAGGUGAGCACUAGUAGAGCUUUCAAGAACAACUCUUGGCUACAGCAUUUCUUACUAUAAAUGCCAAUCAAUUAAAAUUGUCAGUUAAAGCAAUAAAUCCACGUGUGCAAGUCUGUUAAACAUUUUUGGAUAAUCUAUAUGGAUCUGUUUUACUAAUUAAAAAGAGAAUAUAAUACUU